Molecule: non-coding RNA, 566 nt
Organism: Podarcis muralis (Common wall lizard)
Lineage: Eukaryota; Metazoa; Chordata; Lepidosauria; Squamata; Lacertidae
Source: RefSeq, a predicted model, not a curated record
AGGCGGACCCAAGCGCACCAGCCACGCUUCCCGGCCGACAGCCCCCCGAAGGGAGAACCCGACGCACCCAGCGCCGCCACCCCCGCCUGGCUGUUCCCGCUCAGAUCAUUCCAUGACAGCCAGCCACAGAAGGCACAUCUAUUACCAGAAGCAAUGAUGAAUCCAUCUGGAGGGGAGAAUUCAGCCAAUGUUGUUCUGAUCUCUGGACAAGGACAGAAAUAUAUUUGGUCGCCUGAGCAAGGUUCAGUUUGUGCACAGAUAUGUGUGAAUAUUAUACAUGCUGGGGCUGCCCACAACCUGUAUGCACGCAAAGACAUAUACCUGAAUGUACCUAUGCCCUGACGGUGCCCUCAGCGCCCUGUUUUUUCAGGGUACAGACUGUGCAUUGAGAGAGCAAAGCACAUGUUUGCCCUGUGGAUGGGAGCUCAGAUACGUUGAGGGGGGUUUGGGCCUGACCGAACCCUUCAAGCAUAGAUUUCAGUAUGUUUUGACCAUCCACCCAGUGCUUUUUUGUGCACUGAAAAUAAACACAUGGAAUUGGAAACCUCUGUUUAUUCCAAAUAUUA